GCUGGAGACGAAGAAGAAAAUGUCGAAGAAGAUGACCGAAGACAGUCUCAUUGAGUACUCCUUUAAGAACAAGGGUCCUGUGAAGACACAGGCCCUUCCUCUAGCACCAAUUCUGUUGGUGUAGAAUUUUGUCGAUGCCGGAGAAGCUGGAGUCGAGGGGAUCAUGGCCGCCACCGGGACCUGCAAAGAAAGUCUAAACCAGAGUUGGGGGUGC
This 214-nucleotide long non-coding RNA is filed under the name Elaeis guineensis (African oil palm). RNAcentral's name for it is "long non-coding RNA (EGUI_LNC071075)". The record is from RNAcentral. Lineage: Eukaryota; Viridiplantae; Streptophyta; Magnoliopsida; Arecales; Arecaceae.